Molecule: ribosomal RNA, 253 nt
Filed under: uncultured bacterium
Lineage: Bacteria
Description: partial 16S ribosomal RNA
Rfam family: Bacterial small subunit ribosomal RNA
Source: RNAcentral
UACGUAGGUGGCAAGCGUUGUCCGGAUUUACUGGGCGUAAAGGGCGUGCAGGCGGUUCGUUUAGUCCAGGGUGAAAGCCCCCGGCUCAACCGGGGAGGGUCGUUGGUGACUGUCGCGCUUGAAGGCAGCAGGGGUGAGUGGAAUUCCUGGUGUAGCGGUGAAAUGCGCAGAUAUCAGGAGGAACACCGGUGGCGAAGGCGGAUCUCUGGGCCUUACCUGACGCUCAGGCACGAAAGCGUGGGGAGCAAACGGG